RNAcentral lists this long non-coding RNA (260 nucleotides) under Erythranthe guttata (spotted monkey flower). RNAcentral's name for it is "long non-coding RNA (EGUT_LNC000048)". The record is from RNAcentral. Lineage: Eukaryota; Viridiplantae; Streptophyta; Magnoliopsida; Lamiales; Phrymaceae.
ACAAAUUACUUUACACGAGCCUCAAACCUUCCCCCAAUCUCUUAUUUUGACGGCGGUGGUGGCGAUAAGAAAGAGAAAGAGAAGAGAAAAGAACCAAAAGACGCAAUUUUGACCUAGCAAGUUUAGCCGUUGUUAAAAUCGUCGCCGUCGAGAGAAAUUACUUGGAGAUUUUAGAUAACCAUUGCUGUAAUUGGGGCUUAAUUAGCCUCGGGUUGUACGGAUUCGGGUCUGGUAUGGGAAUUGUGGAAGAUGGGGUGGUG